Molecule: long non-coding RNA, 4076 nt
Organism: Peromyscus maniculatus bairdii (prairie deer mouse)
Lineage: Eukaryota; Metazoa; Chordata; Mammalia; Rodentia; Cricetidae
Source: RefSeq, a predicted model, not a curated record
ACCCCGCCCUCAGCCCCCUAGCCCUGCACCAUGAGACCCCGCCUCCAGCUGACCCUGCCUUGAGAAGCCAGGCUCCGCCCCAGUCUAUGACCCGCUGCCCAGAGCUUCCAAGCCCCGCCCUCAGCCCCCAUUCCCGCGCCAGGACCCGCCCGCAACUCCAGACAGACCUCUACCCUGUUCGGCCACGCCUCGCUCCAAUCCCCACUUUCAGGCUUUUCCUCUCACUUCCUAGGCCUGGUCCCCCUGCCCCAGCCCGGCUUUGUCAGGCCCCGCCCCCAGCUCCGGCCCUUCUGAGCACCUGGCGGUUCUCCAGCCAAGCUGUUGGUUUCUGCAGCACGUUAUCUCUGACCUUUUAACCCAGCAGCGCCUGCUGGGCGCUCUCUCAGGCUACUACUUCAUCUGGUCCACUUCUGGUCCCUCCUUCCCAGUCCUAGAUCUCUUCUUUGUGAUACUCUAGCUUGCUCUUCUGCCUACACCCCGUUUUUCAGAUGCACUGCUAGGUUCUGCAAAAGGGGCUUGGAUCCUUCCGCAGGGCUCAACACCCUAAUACUUGAGCAGUUGGAGUGAGUCAGACCAACCUAGAGCAUUCUGGGGCCUCGGCAUACUGAAGGAUUGACCACAGGAUUGAGGGGGAGGAAGGGGAUCACCUGAAUAUGUCAGCUGUAGUUUUGUGAGGUGCAAGGUUCAGGCAAGACAUAGGCGAUGAAGCUGAGGUACAGGUCAGCGUGGGUGACAGCUGUUGACCCAGGGCAAUGCAGGAGGAGACUGGGCCUCUCCUUGCCUAGUACAAUCAAAGGAAAGACAAUUCUAGGGCAAAUGGUUGCCAGUAGAAGGGAAGAGGCUUCUAACAGCUUGUCAUCUUUGAAAAAGAAAAUGUUAAAUGAAGACCACAAUCCUGUCUGUGAGGACUGGGGUUGGAGGCUUAGCUCAGCUGAUAGACUGCUUGUCUAGCAUACAGUAAUCCCUGGGUGUGAUCUCCAGUACCACAUGAGCCAAGGGUGAUAAUGUAGACCUCAGAGCUCAGCACUCAAGAAGCCAGGGAAGCUAAUCUGAGCUACAGGAAACCCUCACUCAAAAAACAUAAAAUAAAAAGCCAGGGCAGACCCAAGGCCCACUACAGGGAAUUGAGAUCUUCCUGGUCAAGACAACCUGUCACUGGGAAUCCAGUUUUCGGUCCCUUCCUCAGAGGGUUCCCAUUCCUGAGUGUACCACCCACUCACUAUUCAUGUAUUUUUUUUUUCUCCUUGCAUUUUUGAGACAAGGUAUUUCUGUUUAGCCCCUCCUGGCCUCAAACUCUGCAAUCCUCCUACCUCAGCCUCCUGCAUGCUGGGAUUACAGGUGUGCACCACUAAGUUGCGAGGGGGGGGGAUAUUUAUCUUUCAUUCUCUUCCUGUCCUUCUGAAGCUUGUGUUGCCUAUGUGGAAGAAGAAAGACACACGAGGUAUUUAUUCCCAAGGUUAGGGGGACAGGGGAAGAAGCCAAGGCAUGGCCCGCACGAGAAAAUAGGACAUUUCUAAACUGGUGAGUACAGUGUGUAUUGUCAGGGAAGGGAACCCUAGUGAACCCUGGGCCUCAAGCCUGGGAGAUUGGGGCUCCCAUGUUUUCUCUUCUUACAGAUGGUUUCUUUGGUUGUUGUUUUUUGUUUUUCAAUUCUUUGUUAUUUUUAAUUUUGAUUUAUUUAUUUUAUUUUAUUCCCAAGUGCUCAGGACAUGUGAGCCACUUAUGUUGAUGGUGACAUGGGCAUCUAAGCCAGAGAUCCACAGAGAAGUGGGGGAUUUGAGUGGGCCAGGGAGAAUUUUUAGUGGAAGUUACAGCCAAAACAGUACUGCUGGGAAAGGAUGGGGUGCCAGCCUUUCAUUUGCACCUGAUCCCCAACCUGAGAGCAGUUAGGUGUUCUUGGAAGAGGCUGCUCCUGGCUUUUUGGAGCUGAGCAAAUGGAAGGACUAAAAGGAGCGUCAAGGCUGGCAAGAUGUCUGCCAGCAAGCCUGACAGCCUGAGUUCAAUCCCCAGGACCUACCUAGUGGAAUAAGAGAACCAACUCCCACAAGUUUUCUUUUUACUUCCAUAUGUACAUCUACACAUAUACAUGUGAGCACAAAAUAAAUAAAUUUAAAUGUAAUCAAAAGUAGUAUCAGGGGACAGCAGUGUAGAGUCCACAAAAGUCUCCUAAGGCUCUCUGGGUAAAGGUGAAACCCAUUUUGGACCUUGGUUGCAUGGGAGGAGCAAGGUGGAGGUGUGGACGAUAUGGAAGGUGGACAGUCUGGAAGGCCUGACCCAAGAGCAGUCAAAAGAAGGGAGAUGGUACACUCGAACGAUUUAGAAACAAAAUUGAUUGGGAUUAGAGGGACAGGGGAAGCCAAGAUAUGGACCGCACGAAACAAUAGGACAUUUCUAAACUGGUGAGUACAGUGUGUAUUGUCAGGGAAGGGAACCCUAGUGAACCCUGGGCCUCAAGCCUGGGAGACCGGGGCUCCCAUGUUUUCUCUUCUUACAGACUUUUCUUUGAUUGUUGUUUUUUGUUUUUCAGUUCUCUGUUAUUUUUAUUUUUGAGCCGGGAUCUCUUAUAUCUCAAGCUGGCCUCAAAAUCCCUGUGUACCUGAGGAUGACCUUGACUUUCUGAUCCUCAUGCCUCCACUAAUUUCUAAACUCUGGGAUUAUAGGUGUGAGACACCUUAAGAGAUGUUUUGGGGUGUGUGUGUGUGUGUGUGUGUGUGUGUGUGUGUGUGUGUGUGUUUCCCAGGGCUUCUUACACAAUUGGAAAACACUCUCCCACUGAGCUGCAUCCCAUUACAGCCCCCCAACCCCAACACUCACAGGCAGACUUUCACACCCUUUAUGAUCUUCCCAUCCAUGUAAGGCUCAUCUGAUUAAGGAAGCUGAUAAACACUGGACACAGGAAGCAACUCUGAGCUGCUCUCCUCUUCCCCUCUAUUUUAAUUACUUUUCUGUUGCUACAAUAAAACACUCUGACAAAACCACUUUAGGAAGGAAGGGUUUAUUUUGGUUCACAGUUCCAAGAUAUACAGUCUGACAUCGAGGGGAAGUCACAGUGGCAGGGGGAUGGGGCGUCUGGUCACAGUCUGUGUGCAGUCAAGAAACAGAGAGGGAUGAACGAGGGUGCUUAGCUCAUCUCCACCCCCACCCCCACCCCGCCCUCCAGACAGGGUUUCUCUGUGUAGUUUUGGUGCCUGUCCUGGAUCUCACUCUGUAGACCAGGCUGGCCUCAGACUCACAGAGAUCCGCCUGGCUCUGCCUCCCGAGUGCUGUCACCGCCACCAGCUCAUCUUGCUCUUUUUAUAUACUCCAGGAUCCCCAGCCAGGGAGCAGUGCCACCACAGUGGACAGGUCUUCCCACUUCAGUCUAGUGAAGACACUCAGGCAUAUCCACAGGCCUCUCUCUCCCAGGAUUGCACAUGGGAUGAAAUGAAGGGCCUUGAGAAAGGAGAUGACUCUGAACUCCCUGGGGCCUGGGGUCACCACAAGGUCCUCACAAUGUUGCUUGCAGGCAUGAACCUGCGUCCCAGUGAUGCCUGAACCCAGACCAGACUCCGAGCCCCAACUGUGGCGUCUUCUUCCACAUACUUGGACUUGAGGGUAGUGAGUAAGCUGCCCUCCAGCACGAUGGGGUCUUCUCCAAUGCCCAGGCUGGUCUUGAGCUCCCGAGAACAGCUGGAACAAGAGGUUGUGCCCCACACUGGACUCGCAGUACAAUACUAAUUGUCACUGUGACAGGAUUGAGAGGAGGUUCUCUAGGAGAUGAUUUCACCAGAAGGACUCUGCCCUCAUGGAUGGAUUUUUGCAACUCUAUUGCUGAAUAACAUUUCAUUGUGUGCAUGUCCACCUAUUGAUGGACACCUAAGAUGAUUCUGUAAUCAUGAACAGAGCAGCAGUGAACAUGGGUGUGAAAUAUCUCUGUGUCAAGAUAUCAAGUCCCAUGAAUAGUACAGCUGGAUCAUAUGGUUAGUUCCAUUCCUGGCUUCUGUAGAAUCCCUAAUAUUGAAUUCCAUGAUGGCCAUAUCAGUUUACACACCCAUCAGUAGCAAAUAAAGAUCAAAGACGAGACUCUUGAAAAGACA